RNAcentral lists this ribosomal RNA (255 nucleotides) under uncultured bacterium. RNAcentral's name for it is "partial small subunit ribosomal RNA". It matches the Rfam family "Bacterial small subunit ribosomal RNA", at positions 26 to 285 of the family's 1533-position model. The record is from RNAcentral.
AGGACGAACGCUGGCGGCGUGCUUAACACAUGCAAGUCGAGCGGAAAGGCCCUUCGGGGUACUCGAGCGGCGAACGGGUGAGUAACACGUGGGCAACCUGCCCCUAGCUCUGGGAUAACUCCGGGAAACCGGUGCUAAUACCGGAUACGACCUCAAUUGGCAUCUUCUGAGGUGGAAAGAUUUAUUGGCUAGGGAUGGGCCCGCGGCCUAUCAGCUUGUUGGUGGGGUAAUGGCCUACCAAGGCGACGACGGGUA